RNAcentral lists this unclassified non-coding RNA (4744 nucleotides) under Hevea brasiliensis (rubber tree). Lineage: Eukaryota; Viridiplantae; Streptophyta; Magnoliopsida; Malpighiales; Euphorbiaceae. The record is from RNAcentral.
CAGAAACUUGUACUUCGAUUUAUCAGAGGCCACGCCAUACUAAGCUUCGAUUUAUCACAACUUUCUUACUGUUCUAAGCUUCCAAGCUGCAACGAUGGCGACUGUGAUGCAAAAAAUCAAGGAUAUCGAAGAUGAGAUGGCAAGGACUUAAAAGAACAAGGCUACAGCCCAUCAUUUGGGCUUGCUCAAGGAUGCAUUACAAUUGUGUGCUUGGAUGCUAAAUCUUUAGAGGAGUAAAGAAAUUGUAUCUAGCAUAAAGACAAGUAUUGGAAGAUUUUCAGUCAUGAUUAAUUUAUCAGAUAUGGAGGGCAAUCAACAAGGGCAUAUAACUACCGUGGCCAAUGGGAAAACUAAAAUCAUGCUAAACUUGCAAAGCUACGUAGAGAACUCCUUGAGCCUACAUCAAAAGGAGGUGGUGGUGCUGGUCAGGGUUUUGAUGUUACUAAAAGUGGAGAUGCCAGAGUCGGUUUAGUAGGCUUUCCUUCAGUUGGGAAAUCAACGCUGCUAAAUAAAUUAACAGGGACAUUUUCAGAGGUUGCUUCCUAUGAAUUUACCACCUUGACUUGCAUCCCAGGCGUUAUCAUAUAUAGAGGAGCUAAAAUUCAGUUGUUAGAUCUUCCUGGUAUCAUUGAGGGUGCUAAGGAUGGGAAGGGGCGAGGCAGGCAGGUUAUCAGUACUGCUAGGACAUGCAAUUGUAUUUUAAUUGUUCUUGAUGCAAUAAAGCCAAUCACUCACAAGCGUCUGAUAGAGAAAGAACUUGAGGGAUUUGGCAUAAGAUUAAACAAGGAGCCACCUAAUCUGACAUUCAGGAAGAAAGACAAGGGUGGAAUUAAUUUCGUCUCAACAGUUGCCAACACACACCUUGAUCUUGAAACUGUAAAGGCGAUAUGUAGUGAAUACAGAAUUCAUAAUGCUGAUAUUACUCUGAAGUACGAUGCAACUGCAGAUGACCUUAUAGAUGUCAUUGAAGGCAGCAGGAUAUAUAUGCCCUGCAUCUACGUACUAAACAAGAUUGAUCAAAUUACUCUUGAAGAGCUGGAGAUUUUGGAUAAACUUCCUCACUACUGCCCAAUCAGUGCUCACCUGGAGUGGAACCUUGAUGGUUUGCUGGAGAAGAUAUGGGAAUAUCUAGAUUUGACUCGCAUAUAUACAAAACCAAAAGGACUGAAUCCAGACUAUGAAGAUCCUGUGAUUUUGUCAUCUAAAAGGCGGACAGUUGAGGAUUUUUGCAACCGAAUCCAUAAGGAUAUGGUUAAACAAUUUAAAUAUGCUCUGGUAUGGGGAUCAAGUGCGAAACACAAACCUCAGAGAGUUGGCAAGGAACAUGAACUUGAGGAUGAAGAUGUAGUGCAAAUUAUCAAAAAAGUGUGAUAAAUUUAACUCCAGUUGUACGAGUCCAUUGAGUUCUCCACAUUAUGAAACCAGAUACAUGAAAGAUUACGCCAAUUUUUGAUUUAAGUGUGUUUGCCAUGGUAUGAAUGAUGCAAACGAGAUUGAACAAACACAAUUAGUUGGAAUGAUAUUUAGCAGAAAUUGAGCGUGAUGGAACAUAUGCCCCAUGUGACUAUUUGAACUUUGAAAGGAUAAACCAGAAUAAUGCAUGUAGCUUAUGCCAAACUGCAUGUGUUGUCCUUUUCUAUCAAGUUGGUUAUAUUGAAAAGAAAAAUAGUAGCUUUAAGAUGGCAUGGAAGAUGAUAUUAAUAGCUUAGCUUAGCUUUUCGUUUACAACAGAUGAUUAGCAGAAGCUCAAGUCCUGUUCAUUGCAUGCAGCGAAAUUCAUCAACUGAAGGAGUGAGUACCUGAGCUUGUCUGCGAGGGGCGAGCAUCAGUUCAUAAAAGCAUAAAUGCUGAUUUCACAGGCCCUAUAAGAAGUCAGUUUUAGUUUCGAUCAGGAAAGAGAUUUCGAGAUGUAAGGAGGAUUUCUCUUGCCCUCUUGGAGAACUUCCUUCUUAUUUUAAGUUUCCUUCUGUCAGUUAAAGAACAUGAAUUAAAAACUUCCUUCUGGUUCUGGGAAGGUAAACAGGUACUACUUAACCCUGCCAAAACGACUCCUUAUGCUUGUAUGCACGAGCUUACAACCAUUCAGUGAGAGUGACCCAAUGCAAAAAUAAACCUAAAAAACAACCAACUUACGCCUACCAAGCAGCUCUCUUGCACGAUCGAAAAAGAAAACAAAUAGAACAGCGGCAGCAAAGAAGAGACUAGAGAUGCUAUAAUUGCCCACGAUUGGACCCUAUCUCCUUUGCCCACUCCUUUGGUCCCAGCCUUAAUCUCAGAAACAGUGCCCAAUGUUUUCACUCAAAAGCAGACUACAAAUUCACAAUUGCUUGUCCAAUUACCAAAUUCAACCACCUACUCCUGUGCUCCAUGCACCCACGGACCAUGACACCCCAUGGCUUUAAUCAUGAGGUCCACUAGUAAUCAAUAAGCAGCGGAUCAAAGUGAAGUCAUCAAUUAUCACCAAUAUACAAAUGCAUCAUUGUUUCCGUACGAAAUCAAGGGUGAUGAAGAAAACAAAAACAGCUUAAAAUAGAAAAAGAAAACCAAAACCAUACAAUGAAAGAGACUAAAGAAAUAAUGUUUCUCUAAAAUACAUUAUCAUUACAGGUGACCUAGAAGACGAUAAAUAUGUCCUUGAACAUCAGGCUUUAACACAGCAGUUAAAGUAGCUGAAAAUGCUCCUCCUUGUCUGUUUUAAGAAUAUAAAUAAUGCAUAUAAUUAAAAACUGUCUCAGCAAAAUCAAUCACAAAGCAUUUAAUAAUGCAAUGCAACAUUAAGUGUCGGGCAUUCAAAGGUACCAAGAACAUGAAUUCAUUUUAUCCCAGUUCCACUCAUUUAAGACCUGUUGAGCUUCAAGAAAUAAAUCACCAAACAUAAUGUUCAAAUUAUUUUUUAUGAUUAUUUUGCAUGCUUUAUAUGGUUUGUAAGCAUUCCAGCUAAAGUGAUUCUCUGGUUUUCCACAUGUUAUGGCAACUAAAAAAUAUUCUGUUUCUUUAGUUGGUUUUAUUACCUAAAUCUUAUAUGUGAUAAAUUUAUGAGUUAAUUAAUCUUGUAUAAUCUUACACGACACAUGGGUAUAUACACCCAUGUAAUCAGAAAUUGAUAUGUAAUUUAAAAUCAUGGUGGGCCCUGCCUAAAAAUCCAAAAGAACAUACAGUGUCACUGACCCAUAUUGAACGGUCAAGAGCUUCUGUUGCAUGUGCUUGCAGUUGCAAUUGCGUACAACCUAGGUAUGUAUAAGAUCAUCCUCACAUCCCUCUGUGGGCACACAUCUCUAUAAUGGAAGUAGUUGAAAGGUACCUUACUAACAAAUCGAUUUAUUUAAAUGCUUGGUACUGGUCCUAGACCUCAAAUCUGAUCGGACAUUAGAAUCACAUGACACCGACAUAUCUGACCACUCAGUUGUUCAGCAAUCAAGAGGUCCUACGUGAUAUUUAUAGUACACAUAUUCCCUUUCAAAUGCUUGGAAUAGUUGGUCUAUUGAAAAUGUAAUCUGUAACUUUUUUGCACUUGCAACAAGAAAAAAUUUACUUAUAUUCUCUAAUUUCUAAAUCUUAAUUGCUCUAGGUCUAUAAAAGCUAAAGUUUAUAUUAUUAAGCAUCAACAAUUAGAUAUUAUUAAGUUUAUAUUUUACUGGCUAACCAAGUUACUUAAUGGCAUAUUAAAAUCUAAAAAGAUGUCAAAUGAGUGAAGGAAUAACAUUUUUUUUUAAUAAGCUAAGCUGAAAGAAUAAAACUUUGAUUCUUUUUUUUUUUUUAAGAACAAAGGAGACAUUUAAAGCUGUACAAACUACUGUUGCAUUAAAUAAACGAGUCUCACGACGAAAUUAUGAGGAAGAGUGAUUGAACACAAACUUAGCGACAAUACUAAUGUAUUAGAGAAUUUAGUUUAGCUUAUACCUCAUAGAUCUAUAACAGAGCCUAUUUUUCUGUUAAGAAGAUAAGUGAAAAUUUACUGAUAUACAUUAAAAUCAAUCAGCAAAUCUUUAUCAUGAUAGAGUACUAAGGAAAGUUUUUUUAGUGGGUGCUAGAGAGAAAAAUAAUCCAUAUCAAAUAUAUAAAUUUCAUUAAGGACAUGGAUGAGAGACACUUACAAGUGUAAUAACAAAGGGAGGAGACAUUGACGGGUUUCCUAUAAGAGAGGGUUUACAAAAAGGAUUGUCUUUGACGUCAUACCUUGAGUUCAUACCUGUUUAACUUGGUCAUUGAUGAGCUAACUAGUCAUGUUCAAGAUAAGGCCCAUGGUGCAUGUUAUUUUGUAGAUAAUGUUAUCUUAAUGGAUGGAAUUAGUGAAGUUAACCAACAGUUAGAGUUAUGAAUAAGAACUCUUGAAAGCAUGGGAUUUAAUCUAUGUAAUAGUAAAAGAAAAUAUAUGCAUUGUGAGUUUAGCUAUCGUAGAAGAAAUGGAGGUAAAGUUCAAUUGGAUAGAGUUCUUGUGUCAAAAUGCAACUAAAUCAAGUAUUUAGGUUUCUUCAUUCAGAAAAACUAAGUAAUAGAUGAUGAAUUAAUUCAAAGGAUUAAAACAUAAUGAAUGAAAUGAAGGAUUACAAUGGGUGCGCUAUUUAAUCAAAGGAUCAUUAAUAAAGUUAAGGUAAGUUUUAGAAAAUUGUGGUUAGACUAGAUAUGACGAAUGGGAUUGAAUAUUGGACAUUUAAGGCACAAUAUACGCACAAUAUGAAUUUGGCAGAAAUGAGAAUGUUAAAAUGGAUAUUUGAUAACACAAUAAUGGAUAAAAUUAAAAAUG